This is a non-coding RNA of Pelobates cultripes (western spadefoot toad), 290 nucleotides long. Lineage: Eukaryota; Metazoa; Chordata; Amphibia; Anura; Pelobatidae. The record is from the annotation of a GenBank genome assembly.
GGUAGUAGGCUUUCGAGCCUAUACAGCUUGGAGUAAGACAACAUGCAUAAAGAGGAUGAUGUGGUCAAAAUACUCAUUUGCCUAAUAAUUCUGCACUCCCUGUAGUUUGAUGAGUAUCUGGGUUUAGAUAGUCUUUUUAAGUGAAUGACUCUCAAUUGACAAAGCAUCAAAUGAUUUUCAACAGUACAGCCAUCUGAAAGGGACAAUAUUGACAAUAUGUAUAAUUAUUUUUAUUUUUUCUUCUUCCAAACAUGACGACAGAAGAUUUCAAAUAUUCUUCAUUUUAUGUC